Molecule: RNA transcript, 1226 nt
Organism: Quercus robur (English oak)
Lineage: Eukaryota; Viridiplantae; Streptophyta; Magnoliopsida; Fagales; Fagaceae
Exons: 5
Source: RefSeq, a predicted model, not a curated record
CCCAAUUCCCAUAUACACGAUCACACACGCUCUCUCUCUCUCUCUCUCACAGUACAGAAAGCUUGCUCUCUUGCUCACUUCUUAGACAAACUAAGUGGGGCCAUCUUAAAGAUGCGCACAAGGCAAUAGAGAUUUUUGAAGAAGCAUUAUUGGUGUCCACUGAUCCAAUUGUUAUUUCUCUUGGCCCAAAGUCCAAACUUGGAGGAUAUGGCAUCAAAACCACGAGAAGAAGGUCCCAGUGUACAACAAUCUAUACAAGGUCCCAAUGAAGGUACAAAAUCGGUUGACAACUUGAUGAAAGAUGCUGAGCAGCCUGUAUAUAAAGGCUGCAAGAAUUUUAGCAUAUUAUCAUUCAUUAGGCAGUUGUACCACUUGAAGUGUCUUAAUGGUUGGUGCGACGAGUCAUUUACCAUGUUGCUUCAACUUCUGCAAGAUAUGCUUCCUUCUGAUGCUAAGGUGCCAAAAGACUCUUAUGAGUUUGAAAAGAUCGUUAAGGAUUUAGGUUUGAGUAAUGAGAAGAGUCAUGCUUGUCCCAGUGGUUGUAUGUUAUUGGAGAAGGGGAAUUCCAAUGAUGAAGCUUGUUCAGCGUGUGGCUUUUCAAAUUGGGCAACAAAUAGGGAUGAUGUUCAGAGUGAUACUAAUGCUUUGUCCAACAAAAAAAAAAAAGAAGGCUGCAAAGAUCUUACAUGGAUCAACCUCUUCUAACAAAAGUGGCAGGAGUAAUAGUUCAUUGCGAGGGAUACAAAUAAGUUCUGAAGAAUACAGACAAAGAAAGGAAGAAGAGAUAUGUGAGCCGAAGGCUGGAUUGUCUAAUAUGAUGGAACAAAUGGCUAGCUUCAUUCAAGGAAUGCAACAACAAUCUCGUACUGGUUUCCAGGGCAUAGACGUGGGUAGUGAUGCUCAGGAUAAACAACAUCCACACACACAAGGAUCAUCAGUUGCUAGUCAUGAAAAUGAGCAGCAGGGUAAUAAGACAAUCUAGAGGAAUGAAGAUGGAUCAGUCAAAGAACAAGUCCUUUUUUGAUGAAUGUAGGAACAAGUCUUUUUUUAUUCCCCUGUUAUUGUAGAUAUUUAGUGUGGUGAAUCAAAUGUCGAACUUUUUAAACAAACAAUUUGGAAAUUGUUGUUAGUUAUUAUUAACUUAGUACGCUGAAGUAUCUUGAUACUUGGAAAGUGUAAUGCGACUUUAUGGAUUUCAUUUCUGUAAUAUAUGCUACUUUAUGCUA